RNAcentral lists this long non-coding RNA (838 nucleotides) under Vombatus ursinus (common wombat). RNAcentral describes it as "lncRNA (ENSVURG00010018509.1)". Lineage: Eukaryota; Metazoa; Chordata; Mammalia; Diprotodontia; Vombatidae. The record is from RNAcentral.
CAUUUCCUGGCAUGGCACCUGGCAUGUCCAGGUUUCACAGGCAUAUGACAAAGAGGUCAGCAUGAUGGCUCUGUAGACCUACAGUUUGGUAGGCAGCCUAAUACCUUUUCUUUCCCACACUUUCCUUUAGAGCUUCUCAAACACUGAGCUAGCCUUGGCAGUGCCUGCAUCAACCUCAUCAUCUGUAUGAACAUCCCUGGAAAUUAUACUGCCAAAGUAAAUGAAAGACAGUGCUGGUGAUGAGAAGAUAACAUGAUGCAGAAGUCUUCAGUAGUAAGUGACCAUUGCUGUUGCUGUUUCAGACUCCAUUCCUUCUAAGGACUCCCUGCCAUGUCUGGAGGUGAGUGGUAUGGUCCUUAAAAAAGACUGUUCAGACACACAGGAAGCUACCAAAUCCCACUGCUCCUUCAGUCCAGUGAGAAGAUGAUCCUAUGGCCUGGGCCACCUGUGUGCAAGAUUGUGACUACAGCUCCCAAUGUAUCUCCACCUGCUGCUUCAUCACUUGCCUGUCACCACAGGACUUUGAGAGUCAUCAAAGCCCAGAGGCAAGACAAAGUCAAGAUGACUGGUGAUAGCCGAUGAUCUUGGUAUCUUUGAUGUCUGACCAAGCUCUCCAUGUUACACAGUGCCUACUUCAGCUGCCUUCAUGCCAUUGGAACAAAUUGUUCUCAUCUGUCCAUUCCACCUGGGGAAGUCUUCAUAUGCUUGGAUUAGACACCCUCCUAAUUCACUGAAAGGUUUGAGACACCUUGGUUACCCUCAACCUGGUUUAGCCCACUGCUGAAACAGUUUAUUGUGGUGUGGCCUCUGUGCAUACUAAAGCUUUUUAGAAAAGAAA